AGAGACAGCAGUAGCCGCGGGAAUACAGAGGGUGCGAGCGUUAAUCGGAUUUACUGGGCGUAAAGCGUGCGUAGGCGGCUUCUUAAGUCGGAUGUGAAAUCCCUGAGCUUAACUUAGGAAUUGCAUUCGAUACUGGGAAGCUAGAGUAUGGGAGAGGAUGGUAGAAUUCCAGGUGUAGCGGUGAAAUGCGUAGAGAUCUGGAGGAAUACCGAUGGCGAAGGCAGCCAUCUGGCCUAAUACUGACGCUGAGGUACGAAAGCAUGGGGAGCAAACAGGAUUAGAUACCCCUGUAGUCCUGUCUCUUAUACA
This 309-nucleotide ribosomal RNA is filed under the name uncultured bacterium. RNAcentral's name for it is "partial 16S ribosomal RNA". It matches the Rfam family "Bacterial small subunit ribosomal RNA", at positions 504 to 809 of the family's 1533-position model. The record is from RNAcentral.